GACGAACGCUGGCGGCGUGCUUAACACAUGCAAGUCGAACGGAAAGGCCCUGCUUUUGUGGGGUGCUCGAGUGGCGAACGGGUGAGUAACACGUGAGUAACCUGCCCUUGACUUUGGGAUAACUUCAGGAAACUGGGGCUAAUACCGGAUAGGAGCUCCUGCUGCAUGGUGGGGGUUGGAAAGUUUCGGCGGUUGGGGAUGGACUCGCGGCUUAUCAGCUUGUUGGUGGGGUAGUGGCUUACCAAGGCUUUGACGGGUAGCCGGCCUGAGGGGGUGACCGGCCACAUUGGGACUGAGAUACGGCCAGACUCCUACGGGAGGCAGCAGUGGGGAAUAUUGCACAAUGGGCGGAAGCCUGAUGCAGCAACGCCGCGUGCGGGAUGACGGCCUUCGGGUUGUAAACCGCUUCCGCCUGUGACGAAGCGUGAGUGACGGUAAUGGGUAAAGAAGCACCGGCUAACUACGUGCCAGCAGCCGCGGUGAUACGUAGGGUGCGAGCGUUGUCCGGAUUUAUUGGGCGUAAAGGGCUCGUAGGUGGUUGAUCGCGUCGGAAGUGUAAUCUUGGGGCUUAACCCUGAGCGUGCUUUCGAUACGGGUUGACUUGAGGAAGGUAGGGGAGAAUGGAAUUCCUGGUGGAGCGGUGGAAUGCGCAGAUAUCAGGAGGAACACCAGUGGCGAAGGCGGUUCUCUGGGCCUUUCCUGACGCUGAGGAGCGAAAGCGUGGGGAGCGAACAGGCUUAGAUACCCUGGUAGUCCACGCUGUAAACGGUGGGUACUAGGUGUGGGGUCCAUUCCACGGGUUCCGUGCCGUAGCUAACGCUUUAAGUACCCCGCCUGGGGAGUACGGCCGCAAGGCUAAAACUCAAAGGAAUUGACGGGGCCCCGCACAAGCGGCGGAGCAUGCGGAUUAAUUCGAUGCAACGCGUAGAACCUUACCUGGGUUUGACAUGGAUCGGGAGUGCUCAGAGAUGGGUGUGCCUCUUUUGGGGUCGGUUCACAGGUGGUGCAUGGCUGUCGUCAGCUCGUGUCGUGAGAUGUUGGGUUAAGUCCCGCAACGAGCGCAACCCUUGUUCACUGUUGCCAGCACGUUAUGGUGGGGACUCAGUGGAGACCGCCGGGGUCAACUCGGAGGAAGGUGGGGAUGACGUCAAGUCAUCAUGCCCCUUAUGUCCAGGGCUUCACGCAUGCUACAAUGGCUGGUACAGAGAGUGGCGAGCCUGUGAGGGUGAGCGAAUCUCGGAAAGCCGGUCUCAGUUCGGAUUGGGGUCUGCAACUCGACCUCAUGAAGUCGGAGUCGCUAGUAAUCGCAGAUCAGCAACGCUGCGGUGAAUACGUUCCCGGG
This 1342-nucleotide ribosomal RNA is filed under the name uncultured bacterium. RNAcentral describes it as "16S ribosomal RNA". It matches the Rfam family "Bacterial small subunit ribosomal RNA", at positions 28 to 1378 of the family's 1533-position model. The record is from RNAcentral.